GGAUCUUUAGCUCAGUUGGUUUAGAGCAGACGGCUCAUAACCGUCCGGUCGUAGGUUCGAGUCCUACAAGAUCCA
This 75-nucleotide transfer RNA is filed under the name Fructilactobacillus lindneri. Its description in RNAcentral is "Lactobacillus lindneri tRNA-Met". It matches the Rfam family "tRNA". From Rfam's summary of the family: Transfer RNA (tRNA) molecules are approximately 80 nucleotides in length. Lineage: Bacteria; Bacillati; Bacillota; Bacilli; Lactobacillales; Lactobacillaceae. The record is from RNAcentral. RNAcentral also lists the same sequence under 7 other names.